Small nucleolar RNA from Papaver somniferum (opium poppy), 105 nucleotides. Lineage: Eukaryota; Viridiplantae; Streptophyta; Magnoliopsida; Ranunculales; Papaveraceae. The record is from RefSeq and is a predicted model, not a curated record.
AAUUGAUGAUGAGGACAGCUUGCCACCAAUCUCUUGUAUCGCUCCCAACAUUCAUACAAAGAUUCUCCAAUGUUUUGUUUAAUCCCACAUAUCUCUUUGCGAAUU